This 653-nucleotide ribosomal RNA is filed under the name uncultured bacterium. Its description in RNAcentral is "bacterial SSU rRNA". It matches the Rfam family "Bacterial small subunit ribosomal RNA", at positions 202 to 842 of the family's 1533-position model. The record is from RNAcentral.
AAAAGGUGGCUACGCUACCGCUUUUGGAUGGGCCCGCGGCGCAUUAGCUAGUUGGUGGGGUAAAGGCUUACCAAGGCAAUGAUGCGUAGCCGAACUGAGAGGUUGAUCGGCCACAUUGGGACUGAGACACGGCCCAAACUCCUACGGGAGGCAGCAGUAGGGAAUCUUCCACAAUGGGCGAAAGCCUGAUGGAGCAACGCCGCGUGGGUGAAGAAGGUCUUCGGAUCGUAAAACCCUGUUGUUAGAGAAGAAAGUGCGUGAGAGUAACUGUUCACGUUUCGACGGUAUCUAACCAGAAAGCCACGGCUAACUACGUGCCAGCAGCCGCGGUAAUACGUAGGUGGCAAGCGUUAUCCGGAUUUAUUGGGCGUAAAGGGAACGCAGGCGGUCUUUUAAGUCUGAUGUGAAAGCCUUCGGCUUAACCGGAGUAGUGCAUUGGAAACUGGGAGACUUGAGUGCAGAAGAGGAGAGUGGAACUCCAUGUGUAGCGGUGAAAUGCGUAGAUAUAUGGAAGAACACCAGUGGCGAAAGCGGCUCUCUGGUCUGUAACUGACGCUGAGGUUCGAAAGCGUGGGUAGCAAACAGGAUUAGAUACCCUGGUAGUCCACGCCGUAAACGAUGAAUGCUAAGUGUUGGAGGGUUUCCGCCCUUCA